UUACUUUUUAUGUUCACACUUGCACACGUGUGGUAACACAGUGUCAGUACAGAGGGAGCAGUUUGGGUUAUCCUAUAACUGAUCUGAGCACCAGAAGAAAUAAAACAAGUGCUGCUAGAACAGCAUAAUCAAGGCACACCUGAUAGCCAAAUGCAUUGCCUUCAAAAGAUAGCUAUCCCCGAGUGGUUUUAUUUUUCAUACUUUUAUUUAAUCGGUCUUGGCUGAUUAUCCCUAAGUGCUGGAGAGAAACCUAUCUCACAUUUUCAUGCGUGAAAUUUGCUUUGGCAAGGCAGACAAAAUCAGCAGAAGCAGCUAUUUCCCUGCCUCCAAAGGCGCAGCAGCUGAACUGAACGGAGAGCUGAGUUCGUCACUUUGGGGCAGAGAAGGUGAGGUGACCUGUCACAGCAGGUGGCCACCCCCAGCCCAAUCCCCAGCUCCUGCCCCCACAUGCCCAGUGCUUGAAUGGCUAUCCAGCAACACCAGGCUGGCAGCAAAGAGGCAGGCAUAGAUGCUGCGAGAGCUGGAGCUGCAGAACUGUGCUGAUGGCUCAGGGCCCAGAGCUGUUUUCUCCCAAGCUGAAGAGCAGAGAAAUCUGACAGCCCUGCCAGUGACUGAGAACUUCAGGAUGGGAGAGGAUUUGGGAAACUGCCCUGAAAAAGUCUGCCUUUUCAGUGCCUCUCCAUUCUUUCUGAGAAGAAAUUUGCCUUGGUACCCAAACUGAAUUGCCCAUGGUGCAGUUUAAGGCCCCACUUGUCCUAUUACUGAUACCUGGAAGAAGAGGCCAACCUCUACUUCGUUACAGUUCAACUCAGGGCCAAGAGGCCUCAGCUAUACCACCUUGUAGUGGAAGUCAUGGCUUGAACCAGUGAUUGAGCACCUGGAGAGAAGGCAGGGCCAACCCAAGGGAGGUCAGCUGUAUGCAAUGCCCCUAAGUGACCAGAAGUGGUGAAGCCAGGAUCCACCCCCCUUCCCAAACCUCAUUUAAGGGUUGGCAGUGGAGGUGAGAGUAUUUUGCUGGAGAUCCUUCUGUACCUGAUGUCAUCUGAAGGUCAUCAGGACAUCCACAGUGGGGAUGUUGGGUUUCUUCAUUUCACCUAUCAGUGACGCUGGAAAGAGGGUGAUGAUGAAAACAGCGAAUGAGGCAAGGCUGAUUUCCAACUGCAUCAGGAAGAAUGCCUUCCCUCUCCUGGAACACUGCUGAUGAAGCUGUGCAUUUGCUGCUUGUCACUAAAUCAAGGAAGGGCCAGAGCCAGCAGGACCCUUCACCUCUCCUUAGUAUCAUAGAAUGGCUUGGGCUGAAAGGGACCUCAAAGAUCGUCUGGUUCCAACCAGCCCCGGGGUCUGCAUCCUAUCAGCACACAUUUGGAAAUUACGGAGAAACAGCAUGAAUAUGAUGUCCUAUUCCACAGCUCUUUGAGCAGCAUAAUGGCAGCGUACAGGCCUCAGGGCAGAGACAUGGAGGGGUUGUAGAUUCCCCUGCUCUCCUCCUGCAAAAGUGUUCUGCACCUUUUCAGCAAGGUGCAAUUUAGGUGUAAAAUAUUUUGCCUCUCCCGUGAGCAAUAAUGCGAGAAGCAAACUGAUUUGGAAUUUGGCCCAGAGAAUUCAUUCAGUAAUAAAUAAUGGAUCACUUUUCAUUUGAAGUAGACACAUUACCAUGACAAUGCAGCAAUGGAGAGGGGUACGGAAGGAACUUGCCAAUGCAGAAAUGUUCUGUCUCUCUAGAGCAGAGUAUGCUGGAGAGUAUGGAUGUGCAAUGAACAUGCAGCCACCCAAGACCCUUGGUGACUUAGAGCCUGCAGCAAGAGCUGCACUCCCUCUAGGUACCACCCUUCCUCUCCUUAACACCUCCUACAGAUGAGCCCCACCCGUGCAUCGGGAACUCAUCAAGGAGUGCUGAUGGGCAGCAGCUAGGAGACAAAUGGAAUGAGGUCAGAGAGAACUAAGGCACCCUGUAAGGAGUUGAUCAGAGUGUGGAGGUUAUGUCCUGAAGGGAGCUAAUGUGAAUUACUGGGAAUGCGAAGCCAUGUGUGACUUUUGCACAUAUUUGAGGUUUUCCUGUUGAUGGGACCUUGCCAACAGCCUAAGGAAAAGUAAAGUGGCUAGAACAUCUCUGAGUGAAAAGCAGAUCACAACUUGGCACAAAGCUGCUUCUGUUGGCAGUGCAUAAUUGAUGUGAAAUAUAUUACAAGAAAGAAAUCAGCUUCUUCAGGGCACUACCACUAAUGGGGGUUGAACAGUUUCUAUUUCUGGCUGAAUUAGUCUGAGUGUGAAGCGUGACAGAUUGAAUUGCUGCCCAGCAUUUUAUUAGGUUUAUUUACUUAAAGGCAAAAAGCACAGGAAGUCAAGAU
This is a non-coding RNA of Coturnix japonica (Japanese quail), 2348 nucleotides long. The record is from RefSeq and is a predicted model, not a curated record. NCBI's taxonomy places the organism in Eukaryota, Metazoa, Chordata, Aves, Galliformes, Phasianidae.